RNAcentral lists this long non-coding RNA (4999 nucleotides) under Sus scrofa (pig). Its description in RNAcentral is "lncRNA (ENSSSCG00000061757.1)". Lineage: Eukaryota; Metazoa; Chordata; Mammalia; Artiodactyla; Suidae. The record is from RNAcentral.
AGAAGUUCCUGGGCCAGGGAUCAAACCCAAGUAACCACAGCCACAUCAGUGACAACACUGGAUCUUUAACCCACUGAGCCACCAGGGAACUCCCAGACUGUUGUAUUUUGACAUCACACUUAAAAUAAUCAGCGGCAGGAGUUCCUAUCGUGGCUCAGUGGAAAUGAAUCUGACUAGCAUCCAUGAGAUGCAGGUUCAAUCCCUGGCCUCAAUCAGUAUGUUAAGGAUCCAGCAUUGCCAUGAGCUGUGGUAUAGGCUGGCAGCUGCAGCUCCAAUUCAACCCCUAGCCUGGGAAUCUCCAUAUGCAGUGGGUAUAGCCCUAAAAAGGCAAAAAAAAAUUAAAAAAAAAAUUAAAAUAGUCAGAGGCAGCAUGAAGACCAAUACACAAAACUUACUUUAUGUAAGUACAUGGAGUUUACAUUUGCGUGGAAAAUGUAAAACAAUACAACAGUAGAGAUUACCAGAUAUAAUGUCUUUUGUUUGGUAAAUACAAAAUUUAUUUCACACAUGAAAUAUUUUAUUGAAUUUAAUGAUAUAUUUAAAAUCUAAUCUACCCCGGAAAAUAGUAUCACUGGUUAUGACAUGAUUAUUAAUGACUACAAUUUUGCUGAGUAAAGGAAGCAAGUGAGGUAGUUUGCAUCUGUGCCCCUGCUGCCUCCUGUUGACAACAGUCAUCUCUGAACUAAAGACUGAGGGCAACAGAAAGUGCUCAGUACUCAGAAUUGCUGAGGUCAGGCUCCAGGUAGCCUCAGCAAUUAAACUCUGGCUGGUUCCUUCACCAGCAGAAGAGCGCCUUUAAGGAAUUGAGAUCAAGUGUGGAUUCUGAAGCAGGCGAUGCAGUCGCUACUCUGAGGCACUUGCAACACAGAAAGAUGAGACAUGCAACUCAUGAAAAGUUAAAUAGCUGUAGAACAUGCCAGCACAAAAUAAACCACAAAGCAGAAAAUGACAGAUGAGGAGAAAAUGGAGAUGCACUUCCUGCCCUCGAUCAGAGCCUGGGGAGACCAGGUGGCCCAGAAGGGGCCAGGGGAGCUUUCCAAACACUUGGGGCAGCUCCUAGAAGCGCUUCGCCUAGUUAUGUUUAGUUUUCAACUCUAGGCUCAUUUUGCUACGGUUUAAAACGGGACCAGUGCAGCCCUGUUUGGGCGGGGACCUUGGAAUUCUAGAUGGCACUGAGGUAGUGUAAAGACAGAAGGCAUACCCAGAGGGAUGCGCAUAUGCUGCCGGCUCCAAGGAAGCAGCAAAUCCUCUGCUUUCUGCGAUUGCAUCCUGCAUCUCUUUUAAAGUGGGAAAGGUUGCAAACCCUUCUCCCCAGACACCAACACAUGUUCUCCCACACAAGAGAAGCAGUGUCUGUGCUUCUGGGUUAGCCCUGGACUUGUCACCCUCCAGGGCAUGGCCCACUUGGCUCAGGGGAGUCUGAUUCUCAGUGUAGGCUUCUGCCUUCCUCUAGGUCUGUCCUGAUAACUUUGGUCCCUGGGACCCAGGUUCUCCACCCGGCCAGUGCUCAGGAAAUGAAGCAGGAGGUGUCCAGCCACCUGGACACUUUUGGGAUGGGAAGAAUGAGCAAAGGGACAUGUCUUGAAUCUCUUCACACAAGAAAGCUGAUUCAGUUUUUUCCUACUGGACCCAAGAAACCAGCUUCGUUCUAUUCAGGAUUCCAGUGUUGCUGCCAACCCGGGCCUUGUGUGGCUGUCCCCACUGUUAUUCUUCUGGUUUAUUGAUGAGGUUGCUUUCUGCAUUCGUACUUCUUCAGAUUUCCUGUUCCCCGGGGAGCAAACGGAAACCAGGCUGCCCCACAUUUACAGCAGCUCAGUGUUCUCUGAAAUGCAAUUAAAAUGUUAAGAAAGACGGACAAUCAAUAUUUUAUAAUCUACACGAAAAAUCCCCUUCCUAAUGGACUGGUGUGGGUUGCAAAACUGGGAGAGAGCCUGAGGCUGUGUCUACAAAAUGCCAAAGCAACUAGUUGCAGAGUGAAUAAUUUCUGUCUCAUUGUCAAUCUCCAGCACCCAGCUCCUUCACUAGCCCUCCUUCCCAUAACUGACUAAAUAGACAAUUUGUUCUGACACUGAGAACCACAGAACAGAGAGACCCAGACACAAAGCCAGAGUGAAAGCCUUCGUCAGGCUCCCCUUCACUCUCUUCAGAACAACAGACUCCAUUUUCGGAGCUGUUACAGAGGUUGUACUACAGAGAAAUGACACGUGCAGAAAUGGGAUACACACACCACUACUCCAACUUUCUCCAUAUUCCAAACCUGGCUCCAGAGUCCUUCCUGUGAAGCCCUAGGUGGCCAUGACCAUCAAAAGGCCAAGACCUGAAGGGAUAAGGACUGUGUCUGGGCCUGGGUGACUCUUUAAGCUAUAUCAUCAUUUCUUCCAGCAGCCCAAAGAAUAGCAAAGUGCCCUAUUGUUUAAACAUCACGGCCAGUGGUGCACAGAGAGCUACUUAGUAGCCAGUCACGAUCCAUAGCUAGGAACAGAGGGAAUUUGGGGUCACCUGUUUGCAAAACCCCAGGCUCCUUCUGGUCCAUGUGCUGCUCAGUUAUCACAUCAAGUGAGUCCUGACUGUACUCUAGCUACCAGGUCAGACAUCAGAACAUAAGUAAAACAGAGGUCUUCACUUCAGAGCACCUGCACCAUAGGGAUAACUUAGCCCCCGCUCAAGAAUGAUGUAGGGGGGUAAGACAAGGCUGAUGUUGGUGCUUGCACUGUAAGCCAGGAGGCUGGGAGCACAGAUCAGCAGCCAAAAUGGGGCAUGGAGCCUGCCUGCACUACCUCCAUGGGUUGGCCCUGGCCUAUUGUCACCAAGGUGGACACAGAUCUGGCCAUGGAUCUUGGUGGCUGAGGAGGUUUGAAGCAAGAGAUGAAGGCAGGCAACCUAACAGAUUUAAAAGUGCAAAUGAUGGGAGGUGCUUGCAAGUGAGAUCAGAGGACUGGAAAGGGGCCAGAACAAAGCAGAGACAGUGUCAGGGAGUACGAGGGCUCAUUGUUGUGGAGGGGCAGUCAAUUUCAUCUCCACCCCCACAGCCCAUGUAAGGAUAGCUACAAAGUGAGUGUUACAGAUAAGGACACUGAGUCCAGAGAGAUCAAGGGACCCUCACAUGUCACACAGCAUGGAGGUCGAAGGGUAGUCUGGAAGCAGGCCUGUGGUUCUCCGCAUUCUGUCCCCUGCAGGAAAAAGUCUGCAGGCCACAGGUCCCCAAGAACUAAGCUGCAUUUGUGAUACAUGAGAGGCAGAUAACAAAGAAUUGCUAAAUAUCUUUUGAGAAAGAAAAUUGAAUGACAUGAUCAAAAUUACAUCUUAUAAAAAUUUAUCUCAUGUGGCUACAGUUCUGAUUGGGCCCCUAGCCUAGGAACCUCCAUAUGCCUUGGGUGGGGCCCUAAAAAGACAAAAAAAAAUGGUCUCAGCAUUAGGGGUGCAGGAAGGCUGAGUAAGGCAGGCAGUUUGGGAGAUGAUCCCCUAUCCAGAUAGAAUACAGUCUGGACCAUGGAAGAGAGGAGAAAAGAGGGAGUACUGGGGGAGGGGGGUGAUCCUUGUGAGCGGCUGACACCUGACUAUGCCUAAAAAGGGGUGGAGGUGACCUAAAGGAAGAGGAGUCACAGGAGAUUUGAGUCCCAGGUGCCUGGGUGGAGAUGCAGGGACCAGGGAGCUGGGAGCAGGAACAGGUGCUAGAAGGAAGAUGCAGGCCUCAGUGUUCACACAUCCCCAUUAAAAGUGCACCAGAAGUGAUACUGUGUUACCCAGGGCAUUUGGAAAAGGAACUAAAUAAACCAGAUUAUUUUGAGCAAAUAAAGCCAAGAGUGUCUGCCAGAAACCAUUUCCCUGGAAGGUCUGAAUUUCAUGAAGACAAGAAGUUGAUGUAGGGCACAGAGCAGGGGUAUAACAGGCGAGACCCUGGGCGGGGCUUUGAAUCUGAGGGGACCCUGCCCCUCUGUGUCAGCACUGGAUGGAAGUAGACAUGCUCACCUGUAACCCUGGCCUUCCUUGCCUCCCCACACCACCCUCAUUCUACUCUGAGACUCCACCACUCAGCUGAACACUCCAAGCUGGAGAUUGGCUAUAAUUGGGCUCAGCCAGAGCCCAUGUGUGGCCAUGCUGGUGCCCAGUAGCCUCUCUAUAAAAGCAGGGAGUCCAAUUAUAUUGUCCCUAAGGUCUUUCCCACAUAUCUUUGAGGGUUUUCUUUUUUUUUUAAGGGCCACACCUGCAGCAUAUGGAGAUUCCCAGAUUAGAGGUCAAAUCUGAGCUGCAACUGCCAGUCUACACCACAGCCACAGCAAUGCCAGAUCCGAGCCACAUCUGUGAUCUACAGCACAAUGUGCAGCAAUGCCAGAUCCUUAACCCACUGAGCAAGGCCAGGGAUAGAACCUGAUCGUCACAAUUACUGGUUGGGUUCUUCACCCGCUUAGCCUCAACGGGAAAUCUUGGGUAUUUCCAAAUACCUUCUCAGGGAUCAGACUCACAAACAGCAGAACAUUAUCAUGGGUGCCUUAAUACUUAAUGGGGAGAUGAUCAAAUAUUUGGGUAAGACAGGAGAGUUACCUGUCUUUGCAGAGAAGAAGAGCCCAUGGACUCUCAGCCAGGCACAUUCAGAUUUGAAUCUGGUUUGUCACUUGCUGCCUGUGAGCCCUGAGUGAGGUGACUGUUAGAACACAGCAUAUAAUGAACCAAUACACUGAAUUUCUCAGAUAACAAAUGCUAUUCAGCUCAGCGUGAACUGAAACAGUCCAGGAAGGAAACAGUCCAGGAAGUCUUCUUGGAGAAGGUGGGUUUGUGGAGUCCUGGGAAUGGGCACAGAUGGGGACUGACAAACAGAACAGUUCUGGGAGGGAAUAACCAGCUGCCUUCCCAGAGGGUGAUGUGCAUUCCUCAAAUAGAAGAUGGGAGAGCAAGAAUCAGCUGAGACUCAGUACAGAACAGGAGGGCUCCCUUGAAGAGUUGUAUCCAUCUCUCACUGAGGCAAAUGCAUCUUCCUAGCCCCUGAUCCCACAGUUGUCCA